AGUAGAGUCGAGAAAUUGGCCAUGAGGGCAGGCAGCCCCAGUGGUCGCAGCCCCUCAUCCCCAGACCUUGCUCGGGAACCAGACUUGUACCCCGCUUGGUGCCUCCUGCCAACAGCACAGGCCUGAGAAUGGAGCAACCUUUCUCACGUGGGACUCAGGCCAUGCCAAGAAAGAUUGCACAGCACAUCCUGGCAGGUUUCGCCACCAAGAGGCGACAGGAAAUGCUAAGAAUGGCUCCACUUAGCUUCCAGGUACUGCAAUUCUGGGAAACGGCUCAGGAAUGAUGACCUGGGGCUGUCUUUCUACACUUACUCCUCUGCUGAGCUUUCUCCAUUUCAUAUGUGGGAGCCACUAGGCCUCCUCUUUUCAAGGGCUAAGAGAAAUUUAAAUCUCUCCCGAUUACUGACCCUGAAAACCACACUGCGUUUCUGGCAGAUGAUGUUAAAAAAGUGUGGUGGAACUCCCUCUGAAAUCAUGGCAACAAGUAGAACAUUUUCUGUCCACAUCCAGAGGGAGAAGCCACAGGAGGAAAUACCUUGAAGCUUGUGGGACGUGCCUGGUGAGGAUAUUCCGUUCAAUGACACAUCUGUCAUCUUUACAUGUUGACCAGCCAACAAGAACUUGCUGAGUACAGGACGGACAAGGUUGGCAUUCCGCUGGCUCUACAGGGGAUCAACGGGAAGGAUGGAGAGAACAGCUUGUGUGCCAGGUGGGGAGACGGACAUGGACCAAUACUGAAUAACCUACAACACAAUGGUUUAGAAAGAGAAUUCAAGGUAUGUGGACUGGACUUAAGCCAUGGCUAAGCUCACAAAAGACUUCCUGGAAGAAGAUGUACAGCCUAUGGUGAGGCACAACCUCCCUGUCUGUACUGCGAGUUCUUGGGUCAAGACACAACUCACCUCUACCUAUCUGUACACUGACAGCAAAGUCCUUUUAAUAUCAAACAGAAAUGAAUGACAAUGAUGGUGACCACAUUUCCCAAACCCACGAACGGUCAGGUUUCUGUGGCGCCUCUCCAUUUGAGAGGCUCUCUGAAAGCCAGUCGUGGAUAGCAUGCUUCCAUGUGUAUGUAAAUAACAAGACAUAUGGAACAUGUUAAAUCGGAAGACUGUUCCAUAUCCAGAAUUACUAAUGUACUAAUAAUCCUUUGAAUCCUCAAAAAAAACAAAAAACACUAUACUUUUAUGCCAAAGUAGAUGGAAUGGGUGACUAGAGAUAAAGCUGAAGAAAUUUCAGAUUUAAAAUCUGACUGGCCCAUUCACCAGCAGACUUAGGAAAGUGCUAACUGCGAAGCUGGCCAGUAUUCAGCUCGACAGUCCUAAAAACAAACGGAACCCUUUGGAGCUGGAAAGUGGUAUCAUAAAAGCCGCCGAAUGCGGUGCUUCUAGAGCGGCCCACCAGGAAAAUAUGACAGUUUACAUCUUUACGUAGCCUAAUGUACAGUGGGAAUAUAAAUAUCUCGUUCAGGCCCCAGUCACUGCCUGGAAUGGGAUGCUUUCCUUAACAAGAAGCAGAUGAGAGGCCCAGAAGCCAAACCUCUUAUUCUGUUGGUCUGAAGGCUGUAGUUUUCAGUCGGUCAGCACAGAGAGUGGCAAUUCAGGGAGGGAAGGCACUGCAUGUGUUUCCUUGGUCAGGACAAAAGCUUGUAGCUCUUUUCCUGGGCCCCCUGAGGCUCUCGUACGUUGAGUGUCCCGCAUGUGGUCAGCGGCUUUACCCACCUUUCCUUGGGCCACCAGCUCCCUCUGGGCUGCUGAGGCCGAUUUGACCAGGGCGCUUGUGGCAGCAGCAAUGGAUUUAGCAGCUUCCAAGAUCUGUUCCUCAAAGUCCAGGGUCUCAUCCGCUUGCUAUAACCAAAAGAAAACAGCAUCACAUUCAAUUCAUAUCCACAAAGGGCUCUUUCUUCCAAACUACUUACUGCCGGGUCACCUGGCUCUUCACCUGCCUAUUGUUUUUUGUUGACAAACCACACCUGAAAUGGGAUGGUUCCUUAACAAGAAGCAGAUGACAGGUCCCCUGUGCAAACUUUCAGGACUCUUAAGUCAGUUUGGUUAAGCCACCCUCGGGUCACAGUGUGGAAGAUGUGGCUGGUACCUUUCAGGCAUUAAGAGACAAUGGCCAGGCACAGCAAUAGUUUUCUUUGUAUGUGUGGUACAAUAUAUAUAACACAAAAUUUACCCUUUUACCUAAUGUUAAGUAUUAAUACACUGACACUGUUGUACAACAGCAAUACCAGGAUAGAAAGGUCAGGAUGCCUCUCCACCUGCAGCCCCUUCCCCCUAACUCCAAAAGGAAAAAGCCGUUAGCUUGACAUCCCACGGAAAUUUGCAGACAGACUCAUUUUCUGGAACAAAAUCUUUAAAGAUAUACACUCACUGUGAACAAAAUACACUCAAAUGGUUUUAGCAACAUCAAUAACUGAAACCAAAAUAAUAAAAUCAAAACAGUAGAUCAUAGCACUUACUCUCUUCUAGAGCCUAAGCCUCAAAAAUGGACUUUAAAAAAAAAAAAAGGAAAGAUGGCUACCAGUUCUGAAAAGUUGUCUUUUUCCUGGGUAAAAAUCAAAGCCAAACAGCACUGGCAUUUCUGUGGCUGAGCACUGAGAGAGUUAUAGACCAAGCACACAUUGCCCAGUGGUGAAAAAGAAACCAGGGCAACACGACAUCAAGGUGGAGCUUGUUCUGUCCUCUGGACACCCGAGGCACGGGAUCCACCUUGGGAAGAACACUGGACACCACUGUGUAGGUGUUAUCAGACCAUUAGGGUUCUGGUCUAAAUUCACCACCAUCUCCUUUGCUGCUAAAACAACUCAGGAAGUUGAAAAGAAGCUUUGGAGAAGUGGAACAAGUAUAAAGACUGUGGUCCCAGGCUCAUGGGUUGGAGCAUCACAGUUUUGCCGGGGGGUGGUCAGAUUAGACCUGUGUGACAACAUUCCGUGACUCUAGGUCAAUUUGGUUAAGCUGCCCUCAGGUCACACAGUGUUGAAGAUGUGGGUGGUACCUUUCAGGCAUUGAGAGAUGAUGGCCAGGCCCAGCAAUACUUUUCUCUGUAUGUGUGGUAAAAUAUAUGUAACACAAAACUUACCCUUUUAUCCAAUUUUAAGUGUACAAUUCAGUGGCAUUACGGACAUUCACACUUUGUGCCAACAGUAGUAGAUUUUUAAGAGUGCCUACUGUGUACCAAGUAUUUUGUUAGGCACUUCUACAUACAAUGACUUAAUUCUCACCAAAAAAAAAAAAAAAGAUCGUAUAUUGGAAUUAUCUUUAUCCUUAUUUUUACAGUGAGAAAACCCAGGCUCAGGAAGGUAGAUGAUUGGGCCAAGGUGAUGUGGCAGCAUGAAGCAUCUAAACCAGAAUCUAAACCUAAAUCUGACUCCAAAAUGAGGCACUUUAACUAGCCAAAGCCACCCCUUGGGGCAUCAGUGAGAAACGGUUUGUGCCAGAGGUUCAAAGUCAGCUUGCUAACGCUCCCAUGUGAAACGUCAGACAGGAGGGAUACAAGUCUUCUCCAGCUCUCCAUUCAUAAUGCCACAUCUUGAACCAUGAAAGGUGCUAAUCCUUUUUCUUUAUAACCUACAUUAUCAAAAUACAAUUUCAAUGCACUUCUAAUGGAUCUGAAUGAUGGUAGCAUUUCAGAAGUUCUGAGACAGACUUGUGCAUUCUUUCUUAUUGCUGACCAAGUCUUGCUCUAAGAGUAUUCAGGACAGACAUGAAUUUAGUUCUACUGGACUCAUUUUGGACUGGUGGAGUAUAGAAUUUGGUGACUGAAAUACGGAAAUGAUCCAUUGUAAGACACUCUCGUAUAAAAGGAACUCUUGUGUAGUCAGUCCCCAAAUAAAUUAUAGUAGGCUCUAAUUUAUAUAUAUUAAAUAUAUAAAUAAUGUAUAUUUUAAUAACCGUGAGAUUAAGAGCUUUUCUGGAAAUUCAUUCUGCCAAAGAAUGUCAGGCACAUAACAGAUUAAAGCACCAGGGAAAUCACAGAAUUUUUGACUCCAAACUCCUCAUCUCAUUUUGCAGAUGAGGAAACGGAGGCUUGUGGGAGCUCUUCAUGGCGGCUCCUGAAGUCUCUCACGCUCUUGCCUCAGGUGUCCUCAGCUACUCUAUGGGUUCCACGCCCGAGUCCACUUUACAGUGUGGAAUACUCUGUCAGACUUUUUAUUUCCCAAAUUUUAAGAUUUUCAAAAAUGGAAUUUCUUUAAAAUUAAGUGCUACGUCUUUAGCAGGGGUAGAUCUGAUAGGAUCAUCUCAUCACAACUGAUUUUACGAGCCUCUCCCACAUCUUCCGCUGCCUGGAGUUUUUUUUUUUUUUAAACACAAGCUUGUAAUAAUAGAUAUUCAACUUGGAAAUAUUUUUGACACCCACAGAUUUUUCUGGUAAUGGCAACUGUUGUAAUGUUCUUUGACGAAUUUUUAUUUUUCUUCCCACAACAUCUCUAUGCUUUAAAACAGAUACGGCAGAAGUUCUUAUCUCUGGGAGACAUUUGCUCUGAUAAGAAAGUAUUAAGAUUCUCCCUAGAAAGGCUGACUGGGAUGGCACAGGGAUGGAGGGCUAAUGUUAGAUACUACAGUUUGGGCAGAGUACCCUGAUGAAACCUGCCUUCUGACUGCUGUGUCCCUAUUUUCCUGUAUGCCAGGUUUAUGACUAAGACGCACUGCCCACCCUACCUCUACUGCUGAAAUCAGACACCAAUACUUAACGUGUCCUCAUACCAUACAACUUCUAGCCUUAGAGAAAAUGGCAUCUCUCCAAGCCAAGGAGACAUGGUCAAAAACCCAGGUGCCCCAUCAGUUCCAGCUCCCAUUAGCAUGCAGAAUGGAAUAGGGGAGAAGGUAGGAAGGACACACACUUAACCAUAUCACAAGAAGGAAACAGAAUUGGCUUGGUCUUCAAAGGACUUUCCUAAAUAAAAGAAUCCCAAUUAAAAUGCAGAAUUUGUUAAUGGAACAGUCCCCACUGCAGCUGAGAGACUGGGGAGACUAAGAAGAACAACAUGGUGCACAGUGACUCCGGGGAAGAAUCUGCAGGCUGGGCCCUCUCCUGGAGCUCUCAUUCUCACCUUCUCACCAGAGAGGCUCACCUGGUUGGUGUCUUAAGGCCCUCUUUAGCUGAGAUGUUACUGACCUGACCAGGGUCAGUCAGAUCUCUCCUUCUGGUUUAUAAAGGGGAUAACGGAAUCCUCGCUUCUGGGUGUUUCAUUCUUUCCACAAUUGGAUCAUGUAAAGACCCGCUAAAAUAAUCUUUUAAAGAUUAUGACUAAUCCUGUGCAUGUGGCUAUUUAUGUUUCUCUAUAACUACUGGCAUCAAGCUAAAGCAAGGAACUUUAGAAAACAAUUUCAUUAAACAGGAUAAAUUGAUAGUCUUUAGCCAUAAAAAAGAGUGAGAUCCUGCCAUUUGCAACCACAUGGCUAGAACUGGAGAUCCUUAUGUUAAGUGAAAUAAGCCAGGCACAGAAAGACAAACAUUGUAUGUUCCCACUUAUUUGUGGGAUCCAGAAAUCAAAACAAUUGAACUCAUGGACAUAGAGAGUAGAAGGAUGGCUCCCAGAGGCUGGGAAGGGUAGUGAGGGGCUGGGAGGUAGGGAUGGUUCAUGGGUACAAAAAAAUAGAAUAAGACCUACUACAUGUGACAGCACAACAGGGUGACUAUGGUCAAUAACUUAAUUGUACAUUUUAAAAUAAUUAGAACAGUGUAAUUGGAUUGUUUGUAACACAAAGGAUAAAUGCUUGAGAGGAUGGAUACCCCAUUCUCCAUGAUGUGCUUAUUUCACAUUGCAUGCCUGAUAUUGUUUGGCUGUGUCCCCACCCAAAUCUCAUCUUGAAUUGUAGCUCCCAUAAUCCCCACAUGUCAUGGGAGGGACCUGGUGGGAGGUAACUGAAUCAUGGGGGCAGGUCUUUCCUGUGCUGUUCUCGUGAUAGUGAGUAAGUUUCAUGAGAUCUGUUGGUUUUAUAAAGGGGAGUUCCCCUACACAAGCCCGCUUGCCUGCCGCCAUAUAAGAUGUAUCUUGCUUCCCCUUCGCUUUCCGCCAUGAUUGUGAGGCCUCCCCAGCCAUGUGGAACUGUGAGUCAAUUAAACCUUUUCUUUAUGUAUCACCCAGUCCUGGGUAUGUCUAUAUUAGUUGUGUGAGAACAAGCUAAUACAAUGCCUGUAACAACACAUCUCAUGUAUUAUAUAUAUAUAAUAUAAUAUAUAUUAUAUAUAUAUACCUACUAUGUACCCUCAAAAACCAAACAGAAAAAAAUUUUAAAGAAAAAUAAAUAAAUAAAUAAAUAAAUGGAUAGCCCUCACUGCAGAAUCACCUGAGGAUCUGGUUAAAGAUGCAGAUGCUGUUUUGGUAGGUCUGGGGUGGGAGUCAGGAAUCUGUAUUUCUUACAGAGGUGGUUACACACUACUCUGUAGGAAAUGCUGGCCUGGACUCAGGAAAACAAACACCAUUUAACUUAAACCUACCAGCCUGUGAUCCCCUCCAGGGUGAGACUGUGUUUUAUUCAACCUAUGUUUCUCUAGCACAAAAUCAGGCAGAGGAGCCCAUGUGAUGAUCAACAUUUGCUGAAUGAAUAUAUCCAUUCAAAAUGCAUUUCCCAAGUUCCAGAGUUCAGCCAGAGCACAACGCACAAGGUAGGAGAAGGAGAAAUACACAGAGUAAGCAUCCACAUCAUUAGCAUCCACUCCUGAGCCCUGGUGGACAGAUGCAUACACAGCUAUGAGCAAGUUCCUGCCCUGUUUGAGGCCUUGAGUUGUUAAUUGUACACUCUACUUGCAGCCUUCAACUGGAAUUCACAGUUUGUGACAUUUAGUCAUGCAUGGACAUACAAAUGUAAACACAGUGGCAUUUUACCAAGAGGCACUCUUAUGUAACAAGACAGCACUGGGAAAAAGAGUGAACAGAUGUACAAACUAAGCUUCUACUCUGCCUAAUGAAGGUGUUUGUUGCUGCCUCUGCAUGCUGAAUUAACUUCUCCUUUGAUAUACUGUUCUUUUCCCCCUUCCCCUUCAUUUGAAAAGGCUAUUUGGCCAGGUGCCCAUCAGCUCUAAGCAAUCGUCUUUCCUGGGCUGUCUGGCCAACUCUUGCUGAGGACAGAUUUAUCCCUACCUGGGCUUUUUGGUAGCUUCUAGAAAGGUCUGAGUACCCUGUAGUUGACCUCUUCCCUGCAUGCUGACCUUCCUUGCUCACCCUUUAAAAAGUCAGUGGUCUGGUGAGAUCCCUCUUGGGAAAGGCUAUAUAUUGGGUUGGCUCCCUUCCCCUGUUUCCCAGUUGGGAGAGUAUUUGGGACCCCUUUAUGUUGCUCUGAUGGGUUUAAAGUUUCAGUAGCUAUAUGUCCCCUGGAAGAGGAAAUGGUGGUGGUAGGGGAAGUGGUGUGGAAAGUGGAGAAGGUAAAAGGGACAGCCUUUCCUCAUGUUUCUUUUGACAUUUGGCCUUUCAUGGAUUCUGAGAACAUGGUCUUCACACUAAUUCAUUCAUCUUCUAAGCCUACUUCCCCUCCUAACCUAUCUGAUGGAGUCAUUACAAGCACGUGAUUAGUAUAUGUAAAGCAUGGCUGACUCAUAGGAGAUGCUCAAAAACUAUUAGCAAUUUCAUUAUCAAAAAUUGUUUUUUUCAGGUUUGGGGCUAAAUUAAUCUGUUUCUCUGUCUAAACCCUGUUAUGUAUCCAUAAUUCCAAUAAAAAUUCUUCUUGCUA
Molecule: long non-coding RNA, 7676 nt
Filed under: Homo sapiens (human)
Lineage: Eukaryota; Metazoa; Chordata; Mammalia; Primates; Hominidae
Description: HSALNT0381685
Source: RNAcentral